This 221-nucleotide unclassified non-coding RNA is filed under the name Hevea brasiliensis (rubber tree). The record is from RNAcentral. Lineage: Eukaryota; Viridiplantae; Streptophyta; Magnoliopsida; Malpighiales; Euphorbiaceae.
GAAAGAUAUGUGGCAAUGAAAUAGGGAUUAAGUUGAACAAAAUUAAUUAGGUGAUAGGGUCAUGGAAACACUUUUUUGUUAAUUAGUUUCUCAAAUUUUUUAUCAGCUUCUCCAAAAAUUUAUAAAAAAAUCUUUAAUAUGGGUAGUAAAUUUUAAUUUUUUAUUUAUUGGCCCUCAAAUUUUCCUUCGACCUUUAAUAAUUUAUAGUUUUUUUAUUUGAA